Molecule: non-coding RNA, 74 nt
Organism: Borealophlyctis nickersoniae
Lineage: Eukaryota; Fungi; Chytridiomycota; Chytridiomycetes; Rhizophlyctidales; Borealophlyctidaceae
Source: the annotation of a GenBank genome assembly
GGCAUGAUGUAGUUCAAUGGAUAGAACAUCGGUCUCCAAAACCGGUAAAGUAGGUUCAAUUCCUGCCAUCCCUA